This 497-nucleotide ribosomal RNA is filed under the name uncultured bacterium. RNAcentral's name for it is "partial 16S ribosomal RNA". It matches the Rfam family "Bacterial small subunit ribosomal RNA", at positions 28 to 507 of the family's 1533-position model. The record is from RNAcentral.
GAUGAACGCUGGCGGCGUGCCUAACACAUGCAAGUCGAGCGAACGGACGAGAAGCUUGCUCCCCUGAUGUUAGCGGCGGACGGGUGAGUAACACGUGGAUAACCUACCUAUAAGACUGGGAUAAUAUCGGGAAACCGGAGCUAAUACCGGAUGAUAUUUCGAACCGCAUGGUUCAAAAGUGAAAGACGCUCUUGCUGACACUUAUAGACGGAUCCGCGCUGCAUUAGCUAGUUGGUAAGGUAACGGCUUACCAAGGCAACGAUGCAUAGCCGACCUGAGAGGGUGAUCGGCCACACUGGAACUGAGACACGGUCCAGACUCCUACGGGAGGCAGCAGUAGGGAAUCUUCCGCAAAGGGCGAAAGCCUGACAGAGCAACACCGCGUGAGUGAUGAAGGUCUUCGGAUCGUAAAGCUCUGUUGUUAGGAAAGAACAUAUGUGUAAGUAACUGUGCACAUCUUGACGGUACCUAAUCAAAAAGCCACGGCUAACUACGUG